CCUACGGGUGGCAGCAGUGGGGGAUAUUGCACAAUGGGCGAAACCCUGAUGCAGCGACGCCGCGUGGGCGAAGAAGUAUUUCGGUUCGUAAAGCUCUAUCAUCAGGGAAGAAGAACUGACGGUACCCGAGUAAGAAGCCCCGGCUAAAUACGUGCCAGCAGCCGCGGUAAUACGUAUGGUGCAAGCGUUAUCCGGAUUUAUUGGGGGUAAAGGGAGCGCAGGUGGCACGGCAAGCAUGAUGUUAAAGCCCGAGGCCCAACCGCGGGACUGCAUUGGGAACUAGCGGGCUGGAGUGCCGGAGAGGUAGGCGGAAUUCCUAGUGUAGCGGUGAAAUGCGUAGAUAUUAGGAGGAACACCAGUGGCGAAGGCGGCCUACUGGACGGUAACUGACGCUGAGGCACGAAAGCGUGGGGAGCAAACAGGAUUAGAUACCCUAGUAGUC
RNAcentral lists this ribosomal RNA (442 nucleotides) under uncultured bacterium. RNAcentral describes it as "partial 16S ribosomal RNA". It matches the Rfam family "Bacterial small subunit ribosomal RNA", at positions 338 to 795 of the family's 1533-position model. The record is from RNAcentral.